AAGUCGUAACAAGGUUUCCGUAGGUGAACCUGCGGAAGGAUCAUUAUCGAAUAAACUAGGUGGGUUGUUGCUGUCCCUCUCGGGGGAAUUGUGCACACCUUACCUUUUUUGUUUUUCCACCUGUGCACACACUGUAGGUCUGAAGGAGGGGAAGGGGGGGGGUUUGUAACCUCCCCUGAAACACUUUCAGGUCCUAUGUAUUUUACACAUACACUAUUAAAAGUAACAGAACGAUUCAAUGGGCUUCCAAGCCUAUAAACUAUAUACAACUUUCAGCAACGGAUCUCUUGGCUCUC
Molecule: unclassified non-coding RNA, 296 nt
Filed under: Panaeolus subfirmus
Lineage: Eukaryota; Fungi; Basidiomycota; Agaricomycetes; Agaricales
Description: partial internal transcribed spacer region
Rfam family: Eukaryotic small subunit ribosomal RNA (bases 1-46)
Source: RNAcentral